RNAcentral lists this ribosomal RNA (443 nucleotides) under uncultured bacterium. Its description in RNAcentral is "partial 16S ribosomal RNA". It matches the Rfam family "Bacterial small subunit ribosomal RNA", at positions 338 to 795 of the family's 1533-position model. The record is from RNAcentral.
CCUACGGGAGGCAGCAGUGGGGAAUAUUGGGCAAUGGGCGCAAGCCUGACCCAGCAACGCCGCGUGAAGGAAGAAGGCUUUCGGGUUAUAAACUUCUUUUCUCAGGGACGAAGCAAGUGACGGUACCUGAGGAAUAAGCCACGGCUAACUACGUGCCAGCAGCCGCGGUAAUCCGUAGGUGGCAAGCGUUCUCCGUAUUUACUGGGUGGAAAGGGCGUGUAGGCGGGAAAACAAGUCAGAGGUGAAAACCAUGGGCUCAACCUGUGGCCUGCAUUUGAAAAUGUUUUGCUUGAGUACUGGAGAGGAAGACGGAAUUCCUAGUGUAGCGGUGAAAUGCGUAGAUAGUAGGAGGAACACCAGUGGCGAAGGCGGUCUGCUGGACAGCAACUGACGCUGAGGCGCGAAAGCGUGGGGAGCAAACAGGAUUAGAUACCCCUGUAGUC